UACGGAGGGUGCGAGCGUUAAUCGGAAUUACUGGGCGUAAAGGGCGCGUAGGCGGCCGAUCAAGUCAGAUGUGAAAGCCCACGGCUUAACCGUGUGAAGUGCAUCUGAAACUGGUCGGCUUGAGUAUCGGAGAGGAAAGUGGAAUUCCCGGUGUAGAGGUGAAAUUCGUAGAUAUUGGGAGGAACACCCGUGGCGAAGGCGGCUCUCUGGACCACAACUGACGCUGAGGCGCGAAAGCUAGGGUAGCAAACGGGAUUAGAAACCCCAGUAGU
This 272-nucleotide ribosomal RNA is filed under the name uncultured bacterium. RNAcentral's name for it is "partial 16S ribosomal RNA". It matches the Rfam family "Bacterial small subunit ribosomal RNA", at positions 524 to 794 of the family's 1533-position model. The record is from RNAcentral.